AUUGAACGCUGGCGGCAGGCCUAACACAUGCAAGUCGAACGAGUGGCGGACGGGUGAGUAAUGUCUGGGAAACUGCCCGAGGGAGGGGGAUAACUACUGGAAACGGUAGCUAAUACCGCAUACCAGCGGCUGUGCCGAGAUGGGAUUAGCUAGUAGGUGGGGGAAAGGCUGACCAAGGCGACGAUCACUAGCUGGUCUGAGAGGAUGACCAGCCACACUGGAACUGAGACACGGUCCAGACUCCUACGGGAGGCAGCAGUGGGGAAUAUUGCACAAUGGGCGAAAGCCUGAUGCAGCCAUGCCGCGUGUAUGAAGAAGGCCUUCGGGUUGUAAAGUACUUUCAGCGAGGAGGCGUUACUCACAGAAGAAGCACCGGCUAACUCCGUGCCAGCAGCCGCGGUAAUAC
This 406-nucleotide ribosomal RNA is filed under the name uncultured bacterium. RNAcentral describes it as "partial 16S ribosomal RNA". It matches the Rfam family "Bacterial small subunit ribosomal RNA", at positions 29 to 526 of the family's 1533-position model. The record is from RNAcentral.